Molecule: ribosomal RNA, 460 nt
Filed under: uncultured bacterium
Lineage: Bacteria
Description: bacterial SSU rRNA
Rfam family: Bacterial small subunit ribosomal RNA
Source: RNAcentral
GAUGAACGCUGGCGGCGUGCUUGAUACAUGCAAGUCGAACGGAGAGUGUAGCAAUAUACUUUUAGUGGCGAACGGGUGAGUAACGCGUUGGUGACCUGCCCCGAAGCGAGGGAUAACAGUUCGAAAGAACUGCUAAUACCUCAUGUGAUCACCGGUUUUAGAAUCUGGUGAUUAAAGGUGAAAAUCACUUCGGGAGGGGCCUGCGUCCCAUCAGCUAGUUGGUAAGGUAAUGGCUUACCAAGGCGAUGACGGGUAGGGGACCUGAGAGGGUGGCCCCCCACAAUGGAACUGAAACACGGUCCAUACACCUACGGGUGGCAGCAGUAGGGAAUAUUGCAAAUGGGCGAAAGCCUGAUGUAGCAACGCCGCGUGUGCGAUGAAGGUCUUCGGAUUGUAAAGCAACUUUUUGGAGGGAUGAGGAAGGACGGUACCUGCAGAAUAAGUCUCGGUUAACUACGUG